RNAcentral lists this long non-coding RNA (1232 nucleotides) under Anas platyrhynchos platyrhynchos (common mallard). RNAcentral describes it as "lncRNA (ENSAPLG00000024950.1)". Lineage: Eukaryota; Metazoa; Chordata; Aves; Anseriformes; Anatidae. The record is from RNAcentral.
UUAUUUUAUAUUAUUUUAUUUUAGAUCCAACAGUGAAGCUAGAGCAGACUAUCUUUCUCUUUAAAAAUCAAUAAUUCCACACUUAUUUCAGUUUCCAUAAUAUGGAGGCAUGUCUUAAUCUUCAGAGAAUAGUUCAGCUGCCCACAUUUUUAGAAAUGUGCCUUUUACUGUCACCCCAGUCCAUUAAGUAGCAGCUUUCAGGCAGAGGGAGCACCAUAAAAUACAGCAUUCUGUUCUGCUAAAUACUUUGGCAAUUAUCUCAGACCUAAAAGCAGUGCUGGCUUAGAACUUUGGUUGUAGACCACUCUCUAUUGCUUCUGUGCAUAGAAACAUAAUUUGCUCUCUUCCCUUGAUAAAUAGUUUUUUGUAUUUUUGUCCCCUUGGAUUUUAACCUUUUGUAUGGAGUUAGCAGAAAUGACUGAGGAAGGAACGUUUCUUAAGGGCUUCUUAUGUGACAGACUGGGAAAAUAAGCAUUCACAUGCUGCCAAGACUGGAAGAUAUCCAGAUGCCGGUUAUGAUUUCUGUACAUUACUCUCAUUUCUUUUCCCACCAGGGAAACAAACUAAUAGUUGAAAGAAACAAAAUGAGAGAAAAAGCCAAAAUAGUGGCUGCAGCAGAGUAAGUGGUGAAACAUAUAUACUGUUCUUUUUUUUGUUUGUUUUGUUUUCUUUAAAAAAAAAAAAAAUAGUUGGAAAUGCUUUUUAGCAUAUUUGAGUCUGCAAAGGACUGAACUGCUGGGGAGGUCACAGCUUCAUGAUCUGACAGCAGCUCUGUAGUGGAAUGCCUCCUAGUGAAGAUGUAACAGCACCAUGCACACACACACACAAAUACCCCCAAAACACGUCUAGGAUUACCUGGCACUGUAGAGAUAGCAUGGCUAGAGUGUAUAUUAUCUGAAAGUCUUGGAAUGAUUUCACAAAGAAGUUUAUUUGAAUUUAUGGCACCAUUACAGCACAGAAUUAGUUCUGUUUUACAGUUGAAGAGAAUCAGACUCAAUACGGCUGGUGAAUUAAGGACAGGGUAGAAGAAAAUGAUUAAGCAAAUAGAUACAAAUAUAGAAAGGUAUUCAGGCAGAUAAAGAAAAGCUGGGUAUUUUUUGAACCUAGAUAACGUCUAACUAUCAUAAUUCCCUACUGAUUUCUUCAUCGAAAAGGCAAUCAAAAUUUUUUCUUAAUUUUCAGUUAAGAAACAUGGAAAAUAAACUGUUCCUCCCUCAUUUUAAAGAUCUCCA